This 103-nucleotide microRNA precursor is filed under the name Marmota monax (woodchuck). Lineage: Eukaryota; Metazoa; Chordata; Mammalia; Rodentia; Sciuridae. The record is from RNAcentral.
AGUGGAAUAGUUGGGUCAUAUGGUGGAUCCAUUCCUAGUCCUUUAAGGAAUCACUUUAUUGCUUUCCAAAGUGGUUAUACUAAUUUGCAUUCCCACUGACAAU